Long non-coding RNA from Lolium perenne, 1312 nucleotides. RefSeq lists it as uncharacterized. Lineage: Eukaryota; Viridiplantae; Streptophyta; Magnoliopsida; Poales; Poaceae. The record is from RefSeq and is a predicted model, not a curated record.
UCACUUGUGCAUGGCCAAAAAUAUGUGGCCGGCCAUGCCAUGGCACACAUGCAUCAUGCCUCUCCAUUUCCCUCUCUCUCACAUAAUUACUCCACCUUGGGAAGCCUCUCCUCCUUUGUCCCUUCCCAAUGCCACAAAUAAAUUCAGCUUGGGUCAAAUAUCUCUUCCCCAAACCAGCCUCCCAACUAACCCAAUCAAUGAAGAGGCUACCUCCCAACCAACCCAAUCAAUGAGGAGGCAGCCCACCCCCUCUCCCUCUAUAUAAAGGGGCUUGGCAGCCCACCCCCUUCCUCACUUGCUCUCACUUUUCCACUCCCCACUCUUUCCUCCACUCCCACACACUCUCCUCCUACCUCUCCCCACGAAAUUGCUGCUCCUCCUAGCUUCAUGGCCGGCCAUGGCCAUGAAAAGCUCUCCAAGAUGAAGCUCUCCCCCUCCCUCAAGCUCCCCCUCUCCAUGAGAGCAUCCCUCUCCUUCUUCUCCCCAAUCCUAGAUGGUUUUCUCUCCUCUUCUUCUUCCUCCCUUGCUAAGUUUGGAUCUUGAUGCAGGUGCAUGUUGGUCCAAGCAUGGAGAAGCUUCACCUAUCCUCAGAUCUGAAGUUCUUUACCAAGAUUCGUCCAAAACCUUGCAGUAAUUUCUUUCAUCUUGCUGUUUCAGAUUCUGGUACGAACUUGUAAAAUCCGCCAAAUCUUGUGUGCAGAUCCAAAUCGAGUGAUUCAAAGUUCCACAGAUAGGUAUUGAAAAGAUCUACAACUUGGCGUUGGUCUCAUCCUCAAAUUCGUUACGGAUUUUGCAUGGGGAUAUUUGGUUUAUACCAUGGUGAUAACCGAGAGAGGCAAUUGCUAAGUUGUGACGCACUCAUACCUCUUCUAGAUGCGAACAAUUCCGGAGAAGAAGAAGAAGUGGUUCGGACAAGGAUUUUAUUUAUAUUGACGGGAUUCUUAUAUUGAUGAAGUUGAAGAAGUCCAGGGACAAAUAAGCCAAGGCAAGCCAUCUUUUGAUCUCUGUUUUGGUGUCUAGUUGGAUGUCAUUUGUUGAUGUCCAAAGCACCUUGAAUUCUAUGUGUGUUAUUCUCUCUAUUUAUGUCAUCUAUGUGUGUUUCCAAGUGGGGUACUCCCUAGUGGUGAUACUCCACCUUUGUCUUGUGAUUAUGGGAUACAUGGCAUCAUGGCCGCGCUACUCCCAUUGGUUAUCAUGUAUGCCCAACUUGAGCAUGCAUAAUCUCAAGAAAAUAACUUACAUCACACCCACCCCCUUUGUAGUAUAGAGGUGUCUAUGUCAUGAUCUUGGUGUAUUCUCCAAUUGAGAGGAG